GGGCGAUUAGUGUAGUCUGGAUAUCACCUUGGAUUUCUAAUCCGAGAACACGGGUUCGAAUCCUGUAUCGCCCGCUA
This 77-nucleotide transfer RNA is filed under the name uncultured marine group II/III euryarchaeote KM3_92_B07. RNAcentral describes it as "tRNA-Arg". It matches the Rfam family "tRNA". From Rfam's summary of the family: Transfer RNA (tRNA) molecules are approximately 80 nucleotides in length. Their secondary structure includes four short double-helical elements and three loops (D, anti-codon, and T loops). Further hydrogen bonds mediate the characteristic L-shaped molecular structure. tRNAs have two regions of fundamental functional importance: the anti-codon, which is responsible for specific mRNA codon recognition, and the 3' end, to which the tRNAs corresponding amino acid is attached (by aminoacyl-tRNA synthetases). tRNAs cope with the degeneracy of the genetic code in two manners: having more than one tRNA (with a specific anti-codon) for a particular amino acid; and 'wobble' base-pairing, i.e. permitting non-standard base-pairing at the 3rd anti-codon position. The record is from RNAcentral. Lineage: Archaea; Methanobacteriati; Methanobacteriota.